RNAcentral lists this ribosomal RNA (253 nucleotides) under uncultured bacterium. Its description in RNAcentral is "partial 16S ribosomal RNA". It matches the Rfam family "Bacterial small subunit ribosomal RNA", at positions 524 to 776 of the family's 1533-position model. The record is from RNAcentral.
UACGUAGGGGGCAAGCGUUGUCCGGAUUUAUUGGGCGUAAAGAGCGUGUAGGCGGCUUUACAGGUCCGUUGUGAAAACUCGAGGCUCAACCUCGAGACGCCGGUGGAAACCGUAAGGCUAGAGUCCGGAAGAGGAGAGUGGAAUUCCUGGUGUAGCGGUGAAAUGCGCAGAUAUCAGGAGGAACCCCCGUGGCGAAAGCGGCUCUCUGGGACGGUACUGACGCUGAGACGCGAAAGCGUGGGGAGCAAACAGG